Molecule: unclassified non-coding RNA, 508 nt
Filed under: Anelosimus domingo
Lineage: Eukaryota; Metazoa; Arthropoda; Arachnida; Araneae; Theridiidae
Description: partial contains 16S ribosomal RNA and tRNA-Leu (trnL)
Rfam family: Bacterial large subunit ribosomal RNA (bases 105-404)
Source: RNAcentral
AUUGUUUUUUAAUUAAAAACUAGAAUGAAAGGUUAUACAUUCAAAUUUCUUUAUUAAUUUUUUAUAAAUAAUUUAUAUUAAAUAUAAAAAUAUAUUUUUAAAUAAAAAAGACGACAAGACCCUAUUAAAUUUAACUUAUAGUUUAGCUGGGGAAGCUUUUUAAAUAAAAUUUUUAUAUAAUUUUUAAAAAUAUAUUUAAUAAAAUUAAAAAUAAAAUAAAUUACUAUAGGGAUAACAGCGUUAUAUUUUUUAAAAGUUCUUAUUUAAAAAAAUGAUUGCGACCUCGAUGUUGAAUUAUAUUUUCUAUAUUAAUGCAAUAAUUAUAAAAGUAGAUCUGUUCGAUCUUUAAAAUAUUACAUGAUUUGAGUUCAAACCGGUGUAAACCAGGUUGGUUUCUAUCUUUUUAUAUAUAUAUAUAUUUUUUUAGUACGAAAGGAAAAAAAAAUUUUUAUUUUAAUUAUUUAGCAAAUUAAUAUGCAUUAGAUUUAGAAUCUAAAUAAAAUAUUAU